UGCGUAGGCGGCUGGAUAAGUCGCGUGUGAAAGCCCGGGGCUCAACCCCGGAGCUGCAUGCGAGACUGCCUGGCUCGAGCACGGUAGAGGCGGGCGGAAUUCCUGGUGUAGCGGUGGAAUGCGUAGAUAUCAGGAAGAACACCGGUGGCGAAGGCGGCUCGCUGGGCCGUUGCUGACGCUGAGGCACGAAAGCGUGGGGAGCAAACAGGAUUAGAUACCCUGGUAGUCCACGCCCUAAACGAUGGACACUAGGCGUCGGGGGGAGCGACCCUCCCGGUGCCGUCGCUAACGCAAUAAGUGUCCCGCCUGGGGAGUACGGCCGCAAGGCUGAA
Molecule: ribosomal RNA, 332 nt
Filed under: uncultured bacterium
Lineage: Bacteria
Description: bacterial SSU rRNA
Rfam family: Bacterial small subunit ribosomal RNA
Source: RNAcentral